RNAcentral lists this ribosomal RNA (253 nucleotides) under uncultured bacterium. Its description in RNAcentral is "partial 16S ribosomal RNA". It matches the Rfam family "Bacterial small subunit ribosomal RNA", at positions 524 to 776 of the family's 1533-position model. The record is from RNAcentral.
CACGUAGGCACCAAGCGUUGUCCGGAUUUAUUGGGCGUAAAGAGCUCGUAGGCGGUUCAGUAAGUCGGGUGUGAAAACCCAGGGCUCAACCCUGGGCCUGCAUUCGAUACGGGCAGACUAGAGUUCGGUAGGGGAGACUGGAAUUCCUGGUGUAGCGGUGAAAUGCGCAGAUAUCAGGAGGAACACCGGUGGCGAAGGCGGGUCUCUGGGCCGAAACUGACGCUGAGGAGCGAAAGCGUGGGGAGCAAACAGG